Molecule: ribosomal RNA, 434 nt
Filed under: uncultured bacterium
Lineage: Bacteria
Description: partial 16S ribosomal RNA
Rfam family: Bacterial small subunit ribosomal RNA
Source: RNAcentral
AGCGAACGCUGGCGGCAGGCUUAACACAUGCAAGUCGAGCGGGCAUCUUCGGAUGUCAGCGGCAGACGGGUGAGUAACGCGUGGGAACGUACCCUUCGGUUCGGAACAACUCUGGGGAACUGGAGCUAAUACCGGAUACGCCCUUAUGGGGAAAGGUUUACUGCCGAAGGAUCGGCCCGCGUCUGAUUAGCUAGUUGGUGGGGUAACGGCCUACCAAGGCGACGAUCAGUAGCUGGUCUGAGAGGAUGAUCAGCCACACUGGGACUGAGACACGGCCCAGACUCCUACGGGAGGCAGCAGUGGGGAAUAUUGGACAAUGGGCGCAAGCCUGAUCCAGCCAUGCCGCGUGAGUGAUGAAGGCCUUAGGGUUGUAAAGCUCUUUUGUCCGGGACGAUAAUGACGGUACCGGAAGAAUAAGCCCCGGCUAACUUCGU